UAGUUAAAGAGGUUUACGGAUAUUUUGC
RNAcentral lists this small RNA (28 nucleotides) under Bombyx mori (domestic silkworm). Its description in RNAcentral is "ovarian small RNA-23098". Lineage: Eukaryota; Metazoa; Arthropoda; Insecta; Lepidoptera; Bombycidae. The record is from RNAcentral.